CCUACGGGUGGCAGCAGUGAGGAAUAUUGGUCAAUGGGCAAGAGCCUGAACCAGCCAAGUCGCGUGAAGGAUGACUGCCCUAUGGGUUGUAAACUUCUUUUAUAUGGGAAUAAAAUGUUCCACGUGUGGGAUUUUGUAUGUACCAUAUGAAUAAGGAUCGGCUAACUCCGUGCCAGCAGCCGCGGUAAUACGGAGGAUCCGAGCGUUAUCCGGAUUUAUUGGGUUUAAAGGGAGCGUAGGUGGAUUGUUAAGUCAGUUGUGAAAGUUUGCGGCUCAACCGUAAAAUUGCAGUUGAAACUGGCAGUCUUGAGUACAGUAGAGGUAGGCGGAAUUCGUGGUGUAGCGGUGAAAUGCUUAGAUAUCACGAAGAACUCCGAUUGCGAAGGCAGCUCACUGGACUGCAACUGACACUGAGGCUCGAAAGUGUGGGUAUCAAACAGGAUUAGAUACCCUGGUAGUC
Molecule: ribosomal RNA, 460 nt
Filed under: uncultured bacterium
Lineage: Bacteria
Description: partial 16S ribosomal RNA
Rfam family: Bacterial small subunit ribosomal RNA
Source: RNAcentral